RNAcentral lists this ribosomal RNA (492 nucleotides) under uncultured bacterium. RNAcentral describes it as "partial 16S ribosomal RNA". It matches the Rfam family "Bacterial small subunit ribosomal RNA", at positions 29 to 507 of the family's 1533-position model. The record is from RNAcentral.
AGUGAACGCUGGCGGUAGGCCUAACACAUGCAAGUCGAACGGCAGCACAGUAAGAGCUUGCUCUUACGGGUGGCGAGUGGCGGACGGGUGAGGAAUACAUCGGAAUCUACUUUUUCGUGGGGGAUAACGUAGGGAAACUUACGCUAAUACCGCAUACGACCUACGGGUGAAAGCAGGGGAUCUUCGGACCUUGCGCGAUUGAAUGAGCCGAUGUCGGAUUAGCUAGUUGGCGGGGUAAAGGCCCACCAAGGCGACGAUCCGUAGCUGGUCUGAGUGGAUGAUCAGCCACACUGGAACUGAGACACGGUCCAGACUCCUACGGGAGGCAGCAGUGGGGAAUAUUGGACAAUGGGCGCAAGCCUGAUCCAGCCAUACCGCGUGGGUGAAGAAGGCCUUCUGGUUGUAAAGCCCUUUUGUUGGGAAAGAAAAGCAGCAGGUUAAUACCCCGCUGUUCUGACGGUACCCAAAGAAUAAGCACCGGCUAACUUCGUG